UAGGGAAUCUUCCACAAUGGACGCAAGUCUGAUGGAGCAACGCCGCGUGAGUGAAGAAGGUUUUCGGAUCGUAAAGCUCUGUUGUUGGUGAAGAAGGAUAGAGGUAGUAACUAGCCUUUAUUUGACGGUAAUCAACCAGAAAGUCACGGCUAACUACGUGCCAGCAGCCGCGGUAAUACGUAGGUGGCAAGCGUUGUCCGGAUUUAUUGGGCGUAAAGCGAGCGCAGGCGGAAGAAUAAGUCUGAUGUGAAAGCCCUCGGCUUAACCGAGGAACUGCAUCGGAAACUGUUUUUCUUGAGUGCAGAAGAGGAGAGUGGAAUUCCAUGUGUAGCGGUGGAAUGCGUAGAUAUAUGGAAGAACACCAGUGGCGAAGGCGACUCUCUGGUCUGCAACUGACGCUGAGGCUCGAAAGCAUGGGUAGCGAACAGG
This 429-nucleotide ribosomal RNA is filed under the name Bacillota bacterium. RNAcentral describes it as "Firmicutes bacterium partial 16S ribosomal RNA". It matches the Rfam family "Bacterial small subunit ribosomal RNA", at positions 355 to 776 of the family's 1533-position model. Lineage: Bacteria; Bacillati; Bacillota. The record is from RNAcentral.